UUUUUUUUUUUUUUUUUUGCCUGUUCAACCCCCUCGCAGCGUCACCGCUGGCGAUUUUUGGGAGAGGCGGAGCGAUAACAAAACCAGCAACCAUCGGCUCUGUCAUCCAUUCAAGUUCUCAAACACGCAGUCAACGUAAUUAAGAAAAUGCACUUGUGGCUUAUUGGGCGCUAUUUGGAGAAGAAAACAACGAGUUUGAAUAGACGCAAUGCAAGAGUACAAAUCAAACUACAUCAUGUAAGGCGUAAGUUAUAGUUGACUGAAGAGACUCGAAAGACAAAUGUACCUGGAGGUAAGGCAGGUACUAAAGGUGAUAAGAUGAACAUUUUUUUUAAGAGUACUGCAAGAGUUUUACCGAUAAUUUAUUAGAGAGGGAAAAGGAACAACAUACAGCCAAAUACAACUUCAAGAAAAAGAGGAACAAUUCUUCUUCUUUUGCAACAAAAGAGAGAUACAACUUGAUGGAAAAGUGCCGGGUGAGCGAGCAAUGUUUAUUGUAGUUCAGUCAAUUAAUAGGGAAGUUGUAUAGGUGCCAAUGAAGGAUUGCUCAAGGAGCUAAAAUUUCAGUUUCAACCAAAACUUGUGACCUGUGAAGCACUUCGAAAAAUAAAAUGACCAAUUGUCCUGGGAUAGUAACAUUAGUACCGUACAGAUUCCGUAAAAAAUCAGGACAAAACGUUGUACGUCCUGUAUGUACGUCUAGGUCCAGUAAUAAACUGUAAAAGGUCAACGAAUUUCACAGGACACUUGACAGUACAAAUGAACUAUUUAAGCCCAUGACGUCUCACACCCGCAAAAAGAACUACUUAAGCCCAUGGGCCGAAUGGAAAGCCGUACGUAUAUGAGCUUGAUGGAUGGCUUCAAUUUGGGCCUUAUGAGUUCGCAUGUGAAAAGUUAGGUCCAGUAAAAGGUCAACGAAUUUCACAGGACAUUUGGCAGUACAAAUAAACUAUUUAAGCCCAUGGGCCGAAUGGAAGCCGUACAUUAUAUGAGCUUGUGAUGAUGGAUGGAUUGAAUUUUGGGCCCAAUGAGUUCGCAUGUGAAAAGUUUACCUCGCGCACCCGAUUAGGAAAUGGUGGUUCGGAUCACAAGGAAUCGUUUUUUUUUUUGAGUAACGGGAUCACAAGGAAUCGUAGAGAUAAGGAUAGAACUAAUUCAGAAUUCAGGGAAUUAGAGCAUCUCCGAGAUGUAUAAAAAAUAGCUCUAAAAAUUUCUAAAUAAAAUUUUAAAAAAUAAUUUUUAGACCUUGCCGAAAAACUAUUAGGAGGGAAAAAUACCUCUUCAAACAACAAUUUCAAAAUUUUGGUCCAGAAAAGACUAAAUUCUUAUCCCAUCAUCAUAAAGCUUGAUUUUUCUAGUAAUUCGUACCCUUUGUUCAUAGGUUUUGGGAGCAUGGAGUGGAGGCCAAAUUUAAGUUCAAGAUGGAGUUGGUAUUGGACAACGAAAAAGUUGGGAAUAGAAUUAGACAACUUUUGGUGUAUUAUUUUUUUAACCUUUGUUCCUAAAACUAACUGUUGAAAUUAUAUAUCAAAAAUUUUUGGAGAUGCUCUUAUAUCCAUCAAUCUCUAUCCUCCUGCUGAACCCUAUCAAAUCGCUUCAUAUACUCUAACAAACUCAUAGUAUUGUAUAAUUUGGAAGGUCGUUUUGAUGGGGUUGAAACAGCUAUGAAAAUCGCAAAAAAGAGAGAAAACAUGUGUACACUAUCGGUGAAUUUUUUUUAUUUUUAACUAGCCACGGCGCAUGGCGCGACUAAAAGAGUCACGCCGUGCAAAUAAAGUUGGGAUUAGGAUGGGGUAUUUUUAAAAUAUCUUUAAAAAGUUAAAAAUAAAAAAAAAUCAUUAUCGGUGGACGGUGGUGCGGCGAAGCCGGUCAACUGAAGCUUCGCUUUCCCGGCGGCCGUUUGGCUCUUCUCCGUUUCAUGCGCGCCUCGCCGUUGCUAUAAAGCCUACCACCCCCAAGCCCCCAACUGCAAGGAGAUAGAAAGAGAGGCCGAGCGCCAAUUAUGAAGCCCUCGCGUUGCCUCUGCCUGCUUUUCCUGGCCUCCAUCCUCGUGGCCUCGUCGGCCGUCGUCACCGUGUCGCCGAAGGAGACCGCCGAGGAGAAGAAGGCCUGGGCGGCGCCGGCGCCGGCGGCGGUGGAGCCCGAUGAGGCCUUCCUCGCCCGCCUCUGCGACGAGCAGCGGCGCGGGCGGGUCCUCCCGUGGUGCAAGCAGCUGCACGCCAGGCGCCGCGGCGGCGCCCACCACCGCUACCUGCCGAUGUCGCCCCCCAGCCGCGACGGCGAGGAGAUCGACCCGCGCUACGGCGUGUCCAAGCGGCUCGUGCCGAGCGGGCCCAACAGGCUGCACAACUGAACUGAUCGUGCGACGCGCGGCUCCGUGAUUGAUGCGCGCGCGCGGCCGUCAGUUUUUCUUGCUAGCUAGUUUCCUUAUUUCCCUUUCUUUUCUUUUUUCCUAGGAUUCUUGCAUUGCUAGCUUUCUUUGUGUCAUUGGUUUCGUUCAAGCCUAGAUUGCUGGAAAGGGUUGACAAUGGAGGAUGAUGCAUGCGCCGUGAAGCAUACUCGAUCGAGCUCGGAUCUUCGUUUACCAUAUAUAGAUCCAAUCUUAGUAGCAUGCACUCCAUUGAUAAUGAAGACAUGUAGGUUAAAAAUCUACCGUAGGUCGGUUGGUUUCUUUUGUAGUGAUAAUAAUGUACCUUAGAGUACUAUAUACAUCUUGCUUGAUUUGUCCUUUCAAGUUCUUGUUCAUGCAUGCGUUGGCUCUUGUUGUAAGCUUGCCGGAAAGGUCAAGUUUCGUGUUCAUAUCCACGCGCUCGAUCUCUCAGACUCCUACUACACGCUUACUGGGCAUGUGAGUUUCUGUUCCUGUUCUGCUUAAUUUCACUGUGUGUUCUGCAAAGGCAACCACCAGUGUUCUUUGCAGGCUCCGACAGUGGAGUAGUGCUAGUUAAUGUGGUCCAGCUCUUCCUGUGAUGAAAAAGCCGAGUAGUUCGAGAAAAUAACUUCUCACAGCCAUUUUGCCUUUGUACUAACUGCUCACUUAACUCCGAGUUGUAUUGUAGCAAUUGCGUUAAUCCCCUUCGAUUCAGUUCUCGCGAUUUCACGGUGGAUAGAUAGUGAACGCCUACAUUUUAAAGAUAGUUCUAAAGAUAGAAUAGAUUUGAUCCAAAAUUUACUGGUAAUGUAGUUACGGCAUGUUCCAUCACUAAUUAAGGUGGCGAGGUGCUUUGUACCAGAAUUAUUGAAGAUCUGAUUUCAACUUGCAGCUACAGCCGGCCGUUUUGGUGACUUUUUCAGGCUAUUAAUGUGUUGUUCAGCCUUCACCGAUGCGUGAGAUCAGCUGGACAGGCCCUGGUCGACAGUUCGACACUUCCAUGAAUUGAGGGUAAUGGCUGACUCUUUAUUCAGGUGUACUAGGUUCCGCACUUUCCAGCUCAAUUCAGUCAAGAAAAAGCCGAUGUGCAAUAAACUGAACUGAGCUGGUGUUCGGAAAGCACUUCACCUUCACUGCAGGUGGUGCAAAACUGCGCUCAUCCAAUCUCCGUUCGUGGAAAAUGCAUUCAUCCAGUAAGCGCUGGGAUCCGUGCAAAGAAUAAUGCAGGAUCAGGGCAGUCCAACGAAAUAGUAAACUACUCUUUCAAUGCAAACACCACUAUUUCAUAUUUGAAUUUUAUACUACUCACCUCUUAUUAUGUCUUAGAUGGUGUGUAAAAACUAGGUCUCAUGCAAGAUUUAGUUUCCUUCUCUUUCUUAUCCUAGUUGGUAGCUCAUUUAAUUUUAUGGAUACCAUUCCGGUCAUUAGGUUGGGAGGAACUCAGAACACACUGUGGUUGGUUUUCUUUUUUUUAUAAAAGAAAAAGGAACAAAAGGGAAAUAGUAGCCCAGCCCUAUAAACCAUCGUUGCCCAUUCGGGCCUGGUCCAGCCUAUCCUAUACGGGCCAUGGCCCAACUCAUGAAGCGAAACCAAACGGCGCCACCCGGUUCUUUCGGUGCGGGCCUUCCCUGCGCGCUUGGUCCCGCCCCAUUUGCAUCGGGCGCGUUUGGCAGCCUGCAACGCCUCAGCCAGACCCACGAGUCAAGGCUCGAGCAAGACAGGUCAUAUCCAUGAAAUGCAGAGAUGUUAAUUAGCAAAUAUACACCCUAUAGUGCUAGUUGGGUUGGGAAUUUUUUUGAGCUGCACAGUAAAAUGGGCUUACCUUGUAUUGAGAAAGUGGUAGAGUUACCACAAUCUUCCUCCUCCCAGCACGUGCUGCCGCGCCUCCGGCUGCCACGCGUCGCGGCCUCCUCCCAACACGUGCCACCGCGCGCCACGACCUCCUCCCGCACGCGCCGCAGCGCCACCUCAGCUUCGCCUCGGCACCGCUGUCGCUCGGCCAGCGAGCUCGGCCGCUCGCCCUCGCCGCCGCCGCUUAGCCACGUCCCCCGCCGGAGAUUGUCAUAGUGGAAGUGGAGUGCGGCUUGGGGGGACGAGAUUGCGAGCGCUGGCCGUUGGGAUGGAGCUGUGGGCACCUUCUCCUUGUGCCUUCCUCUCCUCCGAUCGUGACGGCAGCGGCGGUCGGCUCUUGCGGGGCCCGCCUAGCCUCCCCUUCGUCGUGGUGCUACCGCUCGUCGACCCGGCCCCGCACGACGAAGGUGCUCGCAUGUGCUCAAUGGUGGGCAUGACGGGUGGCUCGGCGAUAGGAACAGAGAAGAGGCAUCGAGCGUGGGACGAAGACGGAGACAGCCUGCGAGCAUGGCGCUGCUGCCAACACCAGGGAGAUGCAGAUGCUGCCUUGCUCCACCACUUCGGCGGUCGUCGCGUCACCUUUGCGCUCUCCUCCCUCUUGUAGCUGCUCCCCGCCAUGACCUGCCAGUCGACGCAGGUGAAGGGGAACCAACAAAGGAGUCGGCGGCGAAGAACAGAGGAAGGUGAGCGUGUUUUGGUGUGUGACGAGAAUAUACUAAGGAUCACCGCAACGAGGCCAUCGAGCCUGCAUCGCGUGGAAUGACCGAUUUUAGCGUUUCACGCGGUGCAGCCUGACGGGCCUCUUUUGCAUCGCGUGAAUCUGGCCUGGGAGGCUAACUAGGAUGGCGAACACAGCUGGUUGCACCAACUAGCUGAACCUGGCCCAACCUCCGUCCGGGCCAACAUACGAGCCCUUCCUCUCCAAGUCCAGAGCGAGCGGUUCGGCGAAGUUUGCAAGUUGCGGAGCGGCUGCAACUCGCCUUGCCUGAUGGGGCGGCUGCGCGCUUUCUGCCGUCUCCGCCGCCUCCUCGCGCCGCCGCCGCCACAAGCACCACCACCGGGUCACUCUCUGGCGCGCGGGCCCCACGCCACUGCCGCCCACGCCUCGCCCUUCUCGAGGCUCUUCUCGUCGGCCUCGGCGGUCGCGGCCGUCGCGCCCCACGAGGCCCGAGACUCGGGUUUCGGCGGCUCAGCGUACUGGGCCUGGAUUCGCGCGGCGACGGAGUCGGCUCCGGCGCCCGCGCUUCCGCCGGAGGAGGAGGACGAGGGCCCGGAGCGGUACAUCCCCGUCAAGGCCUACUUCCUCUCCACCAGGUAAGCACGCCGCGUCACGCCAACGCUUGCUUGAUUGGUGUUUGAUGAUUUAUCUGUGGGGGGAAACGUUGAGUGCUACCGUGCUAUUUCGAAGUUGCGCACGCCCAAUAGGCCAGCGAACUAAAAUGAUGGGUUUUCCUUUGAUUUUUCUCUCCACUUUGUGGCAGCAUUGAUCUGAAGAGCAUGCAAGCAGAGCAUGGUAGUGAUAUUGUACCUCCAUCGACCCGUUUGCUCAACUACAUUGCGCUUCGGUACUCCGAAUUCCCGCCUGAGAUUAUGGUUAGUGAUUACAGUUUAGCAUCACCUUUGUUUGGGGGCCUAUUGAAAUCUAGAAUUAACUGAUCUCAGGCACAUGCGGGCCCCUUUUGGACAUGCUGUUGUGACAUUGACCUAUGCUGCAGAAAUUGAUAUCCUUGUGAUUUUGGUUGAUACUUGUGCAGGACAUUGGAGUGAAGGACAGCAGAUUUUGCUAUCGCUAUGUGGUUGUUUUCCAAUAUGGUUCUGCUGUGCUUUUCAACAUUGCUGAUCAUGAAGCUGAAUACUAUCUUGAUAUAAUUAGGAAACAUGCUUCAGGAUGGCUUCCGGAGAUGAGAAAAGAUGGUACGUCCAUGCAAUUCACUCCCAGUUCAUAUGUAUUAUCUGCUAAACUGAGUUCUGUUUGCUGCUUUUUAGUUGUCUCCUUUUCCUGUGUUCCUUGAUAACAUCAGUAUGAACAGAAAACAAUCCAUUUUGCCUUCUAUAAUAUUCAAAGAUACUAUUCCAUGCAUUCUAUAGAACUUAACUUAAAGAGAAUCAUUCCGUGCCUAGGCUGUGCUUUAUAUGUGUUUUUAAACCUGAAAUAAGUUUCCACUGCUUCCCUUUCACUGAGACUGUAAUGGUGCUUUGUUGUACAGUCCCAGGAACUGUCCUGCUUAAUUUCUCAUUGAUGGCAUCUAUUUUGCAAUAAACAGAUUAUGCAGUGGUUGAGAAACCGUCGCUAACAACAUGGAUGAAAGGAGGUCUUGAUUAUAUAGUUCUUAAAAGUUUAGACACUGAUGGGAUUCGCAUAAUUUCAAGUGUUCUUGGUCAAAGUAUUGCCCUUGAUCAUUAUAUCCGGCAGGUACUGAAAUUGAGCAAAGCUAAUGAUCUUUUGCAUGGUGAUUGUAUCAUUAAAACUGUCUAAAAGUUGUGAACUUCUAAAACACUAAUGUUGAUAGGUUGAUGAUAUGGUUGAGGAAUUCACUGAAAUUAAUCGUGUCAUGGAGAAGACUGGCAACUUCACCAUGCAGAGAAAGAAGCUCUUUCAACUUGUAGGCAAGGCUAAUUCCAAUCUUGCAGAUGUUAUCAUCAGACUUGGUCUUUUUGACAGGUAUGUCUUGAACACUAAAGCACUAUAUUCAUUUUAGGUUGGCUCCAUCUCCUGUACAACAUGUAUGAAGUUAAAUAUUUUAUGUAUGGAAGAAUGUGUCGGUAUCAUUGAGGGAUUUUUCUGUAGGAUGGAAGGUGUUUAAUUCUAGAUGCUAGAUAUUGCUUGCCUAUAGACCAGUGUUAUGCGCACAUGCUAUUCACAUUUGGAGAAAAGUUAUCACGUGGGGUUUAUGCUGUUAGUUUGGAGUUUCUUCCACUGCAUUGAGUAAAGAUUGAUGAUUUUGAUCAUCGUACUUAGAAAUUGGAUAUUACUAUGUCGCAGUACUCACUGUUUUAAAAGCAUUGUGCUUGCCAUGCGCAGAUUAUAUCAUAUUUUUGUUGGCUCUGUUGCAUUGACCACAUGUUUCUGCUUUGACUCACUGGUUGCUUUUGUAAAUGCAAUUUUGCUUGUGGGGACAUGUACCUUCUGUCAUUUAACGACAUGAGUUUUCCCCAGGUCAGAAAUUGCCUGGAAAAAUGCAAAUUAUGCACAAAUUCUGGAGUAUCUUCGGGAGGAAUAUGAACUGAAUCAGCGUUUUGGAAGCCUCGACUUCAAACUGAAAUUUGUGGAGGUAAGUGCCUUGUGUACUCAUUCUUCUAUGGUGCAAUCUGUUUCUUUUUGAGUUUUCGUUUGUGUUUAUAAUUUAUUGUUGUAACAGCACAACAUCCAUUUUCUCCAAGAAGUCCUCCAAAAUAGACGGUCUGAUCUGCUGGAGUGGGGUGUCAUAAUUCUACUGACUAUUGAGAUUGCCAUCUCACUAUAUGAAAUUGUCAAGGAUUCCAACAUGAUCUCUUGAGGGUUCUCUAUCCAACAGAUCUGCGGCACUCUUAUCCACCUUCACCUAACAUCCCGAACCUAUCAUCUUGUUAUGCUAACUCCAGGCUCUCCUGUUCUUAAGAAGAAAAAGGUAAACGAAAAGGAAUACUCUAGAGUUCUCCUCUGUCCUGACACACUGCCACUUUUGAUCUGUAGCCUUAGAUGAAAACAAGUUGGGUAUGCUGCCACUUCCUAUGAUAGCUUACCUUCCUGGGCACUGUGAGCGUUGCAUCUUUGAAUUUCCUUUUUAUCCUUUGAUUCCAGUUCACUACUAACGAAAAAAAGUUAGUCCAAUUUUCGUAUGCCCAAUGAAUUUCAUGGCUGCCAUGGUUUUCAAAUUUAAGCAGAGUACUAGUUUUCCUUCCAGAAUUCAUAUCAGGUGUUCUUGACACAUGCACUUUGCGACAUGUGCCAGGUUUUAGUAUUUCCAUAGGACUGCUACGUCCAAUUUUUGGCAUGGCUUGAGACCAGCAGGCAGCUGCCAACUGGACCUGAUGUAAAGAAAAAAGCUCAUACUAUAGCUUUAUAAUUUGUACAAAUAUGUUUGCGUGGGAAGCCUCCCUUUGGUUUAAAUCUAAAUUGCACCGUCUAUUUCGAAUCUUACACCGGUGAGUGACAGUGACAGUGUAAUGGUUGAGUCACCAUAGGAUUUUUGACUUGUAAUUACCAUGCAUUCAACCACAGUUUUGUAUGUGGUCUUCUUUCACAGUUAAGCGUAGUUGCCUCAGAGCCAUUUUUCUUCUUCCUAGACCGUUACUUGUGUUGGCUUGAUUUUCAAACUUCGGACUUUUUUAGAACAAACUUCAGAAGUUCAGUGUAUGGUUGGUUAGCAGCUGAUGUUCUGUCAAACUGGCAGCUCAGAUCAUGCAGAAGUUCGUGAAAAUCGCCUUAAACCAAUCGCUCGUUUUCAGGAUUAUUUGAUAUUUCCUUCGACACACGACUACGCUAGCCUGCUAAAACUGGGUACCACGGCAGCAAACAGCUGUAGACUACUACUCUGUCAGGAAGGCCAGCCCGGACCCCCAAUGCUUGCGCCUUUCCGUUCACACCCGAAACGGCAACGACCCUAGCAGCAGCAAGGCAGCGAGCCCCACCCACCGCCAGACCCCGGCCGCGGCGCGGGCGCGCGACGCGUGGGACGACGGCGCCAUGGCCGGCGGCAGCGGCGCGGGCUGGACGAGCACGGACACCUUCAUGCCGUUCCAGCAGUAGCCGCGGCUGCAGAUGAAGUAGAACCGGCCGGUACGGUUGAGCUGGAACGGGAAGUUGUGCCCACGGCUGUAGCUCAGGAUCGGGCUGCUGCCGUCGCACCUCGCGUACGCCGUCUCGUUCACCUGCACCACGUCGUACCUGUCCUUCUCGUACUCGAAGUCUGCAGCAUUGCACGCGCGAGUUCUUUUGGUUCAAUUUUUUGUUUGAUAACGCGAAUCUAGAUUAUUCAUCACACGGACGGCGUCUUGGUGGCGUCAAAAGUUUGAACCGGGAGAGAGAAAAGGGAGAUUGGUUAAUACCGAGCCAGUCGCCGACGUAGAACUCGUGCCGGUCCGCCCAGUCGGUGUAGUUGACAUUGGGUGCCCAGCGCUUGCGGUCGCCGACGACGAGCUUCGCCGCGACGGAGAGGGCCGGAGCCGUCGCGAGGAGGAGCAACACCACGACAAGGAGGCGCGGCGGCGUCGCCAUUAUUUCUGGAGGCCGAGAUGCAGAGCGGAACAGGGGGGUGGCGGCCGCGGCGGCGGGCUGGAAUGGAAAUGUGGAAUUCGUGAAUUGAAACGGGCAUUUAUUUAUGGAGUGGAGGAAACGAGAUGUGCGUUCCUCUUUGCUUCUCAACUGGUUUUCGUGUAAAAAGAAAGAAGACGGAAUUGGUUUCUGAACUGGGUUUUCGCCAUGGGUUAAUGCAUUUCGCGUGACCUGUGGACCUGGGGUCCGCGUAUGACAUGGCAUGCGCGAUCAAACCCCCGUGGUUCACCCGACUUUUAGGCCGUGUUUGUAUAGGAUUCUAGAUAGGAUUCUAGUCAUUUUAAUCCAACUAACCUUCCAAACGUUUCGAUUCUCAUUCGAUUCUCCAACAAUCUGAUUUUCCCCCGAGCGGCAGUUAUAACGCGAGACCCACAAUCGGGAGAAUCGGGCGGAGGAGGCGCUUGCGGGAAAAUCCGCUCGAUUCCCGAGCGCGACCGCCCAUCUUCCCCACGCCAUCCCGCUCGUCCGCCGCCGGCCCCUCCUAGCCGGUUCGCGCGCCGCCGCUGGAGGCCCCGCCGACGGCCUCUCCGCGCCCACUAACCUCUGGCGCCUCCGCCUGCUCCAGCCCCAAGCUCCCUCACGCGGCCCGCAGCUUCGGCCGGAGCUCCUCGCUUCAGCCCCCAGCUCCGGCCGACGCUCCCUGCUUCAGCCCCCACCUCCCUCGCGCGGCCCGCAGCUUCGGCCGGUGCUCCCCGCUGCGGCCCCCAGCUCGGCCCGCAGCUCCGGCCGGCGCUCCCCGCUCCGGCCCCUAGCUCCCUCGCUGGCCUGUAGCUCCGGCCGGCGCUCCCGCUCCGGCCCCCCAAAUCCGGUCGCCGCUCCCUGCUCCGGCCGGCACUCCCUCGUGCGGCUCCCAGCUCCGGUGUUGUCGGCGCGCCCCCAACUCCUCUGCUGAAGCUCCCCUGCUGAAACGUCAGGGACAAGCCUCUGUGAAAAAAAUCGACAAUGCCAAACGCUUUGCUUCUCUUGCUAGCGAUUCUUGAGGAAGCAAAUUCUUGUACAAUCAAGCUUCUUGGAAAAUCGAUUCACAGAUAAGCUGAACCAAACACGACCUUAGACGCGGCGGAUCGUGCAGGACAGACUUGUGUGGACCUAUCACCUAUGUGGCCCGGGGAAGCGGGACGGACGCGCGCGCGAGGAAGGCUGAACUAAUCAUGGAGGAUCGGUGGGUGUUGUGUUACAGCCACUGAGGCGCCGCACACCAUGCUGUGGUGAGAGCUCUUGAAGGCUGAAGCUGUCAGACGCCGAGUAGCUGCAGGCACUCGACUACUCGAGUCGACGGCGUCGCGAAGCCGCCGGAAGCCAGCGAGCGAGAGGUUCGUCUAUGGAGACGCGCAUAGGAGUGCUGUCGACGCUCGCGUCGCGGAGAAGGGUGAGCAGGCGCCCGGGAAGCAGCCCCACGAGUAGCGGCGGCGCCGGCGCUCCGGCGAGCGCGAGGCACGGAGCAGAGGAGGCGCGCGUGGAAACCCCCUGCGGCCCUGCCCGGGGUCGGGAGUGGACGGUAUUUCAUUUACCGUCCACCUCUUGUGCCCUUGACAACCGUCAGAUUGGAUCCGUACGGCCUAGAUUCGACAUAAGAGCGAUCGGACAUGGUUGUUCUCCGCCGUGAUGCCCCCCUGCUGGAGGGCGCCGGCAGCCUCACCGCCGGCGGCGGCAGGCGCUUCCAGUAUCGUCGUUGCUCGAUCGGUGCUGUCGACCUCCCGGCCGGCGUUUGGAGCGACCGCCUCUCUAUCGCCCCGCUAAUGUCGCCGAGGAAGUCGAGCAGCGCCGGGCGCCAGGUGCUCGGGGCCGAACGCGCGCAGCUGAUGGCUCAAGGAAUGUCUGGUGCGCCCGCGAGCAGGGCCUCGUCGGUGUGCUCUGGAUCGGCACGCUCGCCGGUAGGACAGGUUCGUACUGCCGCCCGUCAGGGCUGCCGUGCCAAGCUGGAGGGAGGUGGGCCGUCGAGGAAGGCGUUGGAGGAAUUCUUGAUGGCGACGAAGCUCGAGUGAAGUUAACUAAGCUGUCCGUGAAUGAUGACUGUAAAUUUGUAAUGUAUGCCCAUUGGGAUGCGAAGGACGAGCUUGCCUCCUUGGCUCCUCCUAGAUCUGAAUACAAGAUUGGGUUACGGAAAGGGGAAGGAGAGGGAGAGGGAGGAAGAUGAGAGCGGGGUUCUCUUCGCCGGCAAAAAUCCGGUGCUACAUAUCCGAUGGGAGCAGCUGGUCGCUGGUGGCGGAGAUGCGCGCGAUUCGUGAAAGGGGAUAAGCUGUUGUCGUCGUCGUCGCGCAAGCUCGCGAAAGACGAGAAGCCAGCAGAAUGACGGUGGUUGGUUAACCCCCCGUGACUCAGAUAACAGAGCAGCUAAAACAACACAAAGAAACCACUGUAAACAGAUAAGACCGUAAAACAGCGUAACCAGCACCUUAAUUCCGAGAACCAUUCUUUUUUCGAAGUAACCAUUCGGCCUCCGGCUCACAAAGGCACCCCCCACCAACGAAAGUGACCCAGUAUUUGCAUACAGCAUUCAAGCGUUAACAGUACUCACUACAUGCACAUGCGAGUACGCGACAAACUCCACAUGAUGAUUCUGCAUGUUCCUGCCACAACUCCACACACGGUGUAUAUUCUCCAACCUCCCCAAAAGCGGAUACCUACAGACGUUCUGGCUUCAAGUUAUUUUUAAUGCCAGGGAAUUCGAAUCUCGGAGUCUAGAGCGGUAUAAGCAGCAACACUCAAUCCAGCCUCCCAAGCAAGUACGCGACCUGAACCUCCUUGGUUAGCGGCAUGAUUCUCCUGUACAGCCCGGCGACUAUGCUGGGGUUGAUCUUGCACACCGGUGGGGCGCCGUUGGCCUCAGCGCCGAUGUUCACCUCUUGCCCGAAGAUCUUGGCCUUCGCUUCCACCCUGUGCUCGAUAGCACGCUCCACAGUCUCGUAUGUGAGGAGUUGCAUGAGUUGAACAGGGUCCUGAAUUGCGCAGAGCACCACAAGAAAUAGGCAAAUGAGUUGUUUGCAACGGGAUCACAUUAUCGAAUUUGAUCCGAAACUCUGCAGGCAAAACAAAAAAUAGACAUAGUAGUUGUAGACAUAUUUGCACGAAGCAGCAGCACAGACCUGGGCUUUUAUGGCAGGCCUGUAAGCUUCAGGGGACUCUUGAAACUUGGCCUCUGCCACAAACUUCCCAUAGUGGAUUCUUUUAGAGAGUGCCUGAAUGGUAAAACAAGGAACAGUGAAUAAGCGCCAAACUAUACAAAUGCAGAAUUGCACAAGUCACCAGCGAACAUCAGCAUAGUAAACCUUGCAUGGAUUGGUAUUGGAAGAUGUGGUUUGACUUUGUUUCCUAAAAUAUAUUCUUUUAAUCGAAUGAAAACUGCAGCAGAGUAAAAGGAACUUUCACAAUAAACUAGUUGACUACAACACAAGCAGAUGUGCACCCACGGUACUUAAGUGGAGUAAGAGGAUUUGACAUAAAUAUCAGCUGUAAGGUGGAUUAAGAGGAUUUGAAAUGAAUAUCAGCUGUACCUGCAAGAGAGACGUGUCACAGAGAGCACUGGAUCCAUAAUUGCCAUCGCUUCCUUCUUUCGCCAACCUUGGAAGAAGUUCAUCGAAAUACAGCUUCCAAAUCUUUUUGUUGAUGUUAAUAGAAUCAGCAACGGGAUGCAGAACCUAUGCAAAGGAUGAGGGUGAAGUAUGAAUCCAUAUGAAGUUUACUAACAUGGACAUAAGAUCAGGAUAUCUCAUUAGCAUUAUGAGCCUUGCAAUAGAUGACAUUCCAAAUGCAAUGCAGCAUAAACAGACGUUUCAUGUCACAGAUUGAUUGUGAUGGGCAACAGUGCUUGUGCUUGUACACGACCACAAGAUUCAUGCAGGUCAAACCAUCAAAUGAUUAAAUUGAAGCAAAAUGCUAAGUCAUCAUCAGUGAGUAAUACAUACAAUGCUACUUUCACCUCUGCUUCACCUAAGGUUCCUUGGGAGCUUUUGCAUUUACUCAAAGUAAAAAGAGCACAUGUUGCAAAUGAGAGGCCACCUUUUUUUGAGCUAAUAAGAAAAAAAAUGACCCUUCGCUUAUUUCAACUCAAUAUGAUAUGACAGAGAGUUAUACAGCUCAUUCCAUGAUAUAAUGGAGAAAGUAGAGUAUCUUAGCAAACAGGGAACAUUUUCAAUGUCUUGUAUCUAAGGUCUGUGGCAUUUAUUACAAUAACGAUAGCAGCACACUGCCUGUAUGUUGUUCACUAAUUGAGAAUUGCUCAAUAUAUGAGCCAUACAGGCCUUUUAAGUCAGGUGCUAAAUAACUGUAACAAAAAACAAAGUCAAUUUAUCUACCUAUAUGAAGAAAAUGAUAUAUUAGUCUGCAAAUAGUGGGCUAUAUUUCUUAUACCGAUGAAGAAACUACAAAAAUCAUCAAGAGAAGCAUUUGAAAUCCAAGAACAUGCAUUACCUUUGGGUAUUGCAUAGGUGGCAACCGCGGCUCAGGCAGAUCAUCUGGAAAGAAUGCGUGCUCAUCUGGGCUCUUGUAUCUCCCAACCUAUAUUUAAAAACAUCAGCAUAUUUUAUUCUUUUGCAAGUCAUGAUCAAUUAUUUUUGUUAAAAAAAGAAACCCAAAUGGAUUCACCUGCGCAUGUAGCUUUUCAGUUUCUCUAACUAUGUAUUCAACCAAAGAUCCUUCAAAACCCUCCAUGUGGAAAGAAUUGCUAUCAUAUGUAUCAGCAUUGUAACGGUACUGGGCUCUCUCCAAGAGGCCGAAUAUGAUGCUGUCUUCUAGUCUAAUCAAAGUUUGUCUGAUGCUAUCCAGUGUCAAUAUUUCACUUCGAUCAACCCUCCCUUCCCUAGCAAAAGUGAACAAUUAAGAAAAAAGAAUGAUCAGUUCCUUCAGUAUAACCCAAACCAGCUUUAGCAACAAGAAAAAGCAGUCAAAGGAUAACAUAAGAGAGUCAAGUCUUUCUGCAAAAAGCAACAAGGUUAACAUCCAUAGUGCUCCAUGUCAAUUCCCUCAAGAUUCCACUUACAUUUCUGGAAUAGUUUCACCAAAAUUCAACGAAGCUUCGUCACAAAGAAAUUAGAACAUACAAGUUAUCAAAGCACACUAUUAAUUUUUUACCACCAAGUCUCCAGACCUAUCAUUGGUGGAAGUGAUGAACAACAUAGCUGGAAAUUUCCACAGUAUAGUUGCAACAAUGUGAACAUGUAAUGCCUACAGGCUACAGCAUGCUUUUGGCUAAAGUCAUGACUUCCAAGUCAACUCUACCACCAAAUAGUAAGUCAUGACUUCAAGUCAACGUCACAGGAUAUCAACACCACGUCCAUUUUUACACAAUAGUAAACUCUCUGUUCUUAGAGAAAUAAUUCAACAAGGAGUUCCCCAACUUCUAGGAGAUCAACCCAAUCACAGGAAAACAGCCACAAUUGCCAAUACAAUCACCGCAAAACAGCCACAAAUUGCCAAUUCAAUCACCACAAAACAGCCACAAAUUGGAUGCCUGAAUUCACGCAAUCAUUCUCUAAAGCACAGAUGGUUGGAUUCAGAAGGACUAGUCUCGGAAACGGAAUGGCUAGAACACCAACUCUCCCGAUUCAUAACCAACGCAAACCCAAAUCCGACUCCAGGAUCAGCACAGGAAAUUACCACACUGCAGCCAGCCGUACGCGCGCAAGCACAAACCUACAUACCCUCCCACGGAACCAAGCGCAGCACAAAAUAGGCAGAAACUGGAUGCCCGAAAUCAUGCAAUCAGUAUCUAAAUUAUGUACGGUCGGAUUCAUCAUCAGGAUUAAUGCCAGAAACGGAAACACUAGACCACAAACGCUACCAAUUGAUACACCACAAAUCCAAACCCCGCUUCCAGGAUCAGAGCAGGAAAUUACCACAGUGCAGCCAUCCUUACACGCGCAAGUACAAACCUACAUACCUCCCCUCCCACGGAACCAAGCGCAACACAAAACAGCCACGAACUGGACGCCCGAAAUCACGCAAUCAGUAUCUAAAGCAUAUACUGUCGGAUUCAUCAGGACUAAUCUCAGAAACGGAACCGCUAGACCACAAACUCCCCCAAUUGAUACACACAAAUCCAAACCCGAUUCCAGGAUCAGCACGGGAAAUCACCACACCGCAGCCAUCCCUACACGCGCAAGCACAAGCCUACACACCUCCCCUCCCACGGAACCUACUACCAAGCGCAGCAACCGCUCGUCACACCAAACGAGUCCCACGAGGAGGAGAACCCAAUCGGAGUACGUACUUGGCCACGGGGGUCGCGGAGUUGUUGGCGGUCGCGCGCAGCGCCUUGGUCCCGGUCGCCGCCGAGCCGAGCCCGAAGCCGACGCGGCUCCUGCCCUGCGCUCCUUCUCCCCGGUGCGCGUGCGCGGGCGCGGGCGACGCCGCCGCGGCCUUGGCGGCCAGCUUGAACUCCAUCGUCGCCACCUACCGCCCCGCCACGAGCACCUGGAAUUCGGGGGUGCUCGCGGGAGGUGGGAGGGAGGGAGAGGCUGGUAGGCCGGGGAAAUGCCGGGGGAUUUAUUUGUAGGUGGUGGGGGCGGCCGGACGGUGAGGAGGGGGGUGUUCGGUCGAGAGGGAGAGGCGACGCGAUGGACUUGGAGAAGUAGGUGGGACUUGGUGGGGUCAGGAGUGGGAGGGGGGGGGGGGGGGGGGGGGGGGGGUGGUGCGGACGGGCCGUAGAGGAAGAGAGGAAGCCAGCCAGCGAGCCAGGCCAGGUCGCCAGGAGGACGGGGUAGGCCGGGAGGGGAUGGGGGAUCGGAAUCGGGGGGCGUCGGCGCGUGGAAAAGUGACGCGCGGCGGGGUCGUGCGGUGGGGUUAGGUUGGGGUGGGGGCGCGCGGGCGUGGCGUGCGUCCCGGUUUGCGGCGGAGCUGUCCGCUUGCUGGCGCGCGACUGGUGAGGGGUCCGUUUGGUACUUCGGGUGGUUGGUCUCGAGCGCUUCCGGAUUGGUGAGGAGGCUCCUGUUGUGAACCAUUUGGUGAUCAACACCAGUACCUAUCAUUAGCGGUUACUUACCGAAGGGGUCUCGCACCCAUUCACAUGACCAUUUCAUCAUGUAUAUGUAUACACAAACAGUCCCAUACUCUUAACACGUUAUCACGCAGGCAUGCUCGAACACUAAUGAGUUCGGCCACAAGACAUUCAUGGCGACGAUGCAGUUCCUGGCGUCCUGGUCGCUGGAGAAGAACAGAAGCACAAAGUCGAUCAAUGUCGAAUCCAAGACGAACAAGCAGAGAUUCGAGCGAUGAUGAACAAGCACUUCUUGCUGCAGUGCAUCACCAGUGGCGUCUUCAGCGACGCCCUUGAACAUGUCUUGCCCAACGCCGGCGAAGCAUCCAUCGACUUCAGAAGGAGAAAUCAACAUCAGGAUUUCACAGAUAAGUGACGGCACCGUUCUUACCUUGCAAUGUCCGGCGGCGACCGUCGCACGUCUACUCACGAUCCUGCGGCAACCCCGCCCGCGGCAAGCCCGCCAGCGCCCCUGCGUCAGCGGUGGCGUGCUCCCACCUGCACCCCAGCAGCCGGCGGCGGCGUCCUUGCACCCGAGACGGCGGCGGCCGAUCCAGCGGCGGUGGUCCCAGCAGCACCGGUCCUGCACCGGCUGCGGCCCCGCGCGAGCGGCCUCAUCGCCGUACAGCAACGGCUGCCGGACAUGCCCGCCCGCACCGGGAAGCAGCGGAGCAUGCCUGCACGCUCGCCUGCAUCCCUGCGGGAGGCGGCGGUGCCCGCUCGUCAGCGCCCUUGCGGCUGCGGCGGCGGCGCAUGCCGGCUUUGGUGGCGUCUUCGCCCGGAGCAGCUCACCGGCAGCAGCGGCGGGUGGCAAGCUCGACCGUCCGAGCCCGCGCCCCACCGGCGGCUGUGCACGACCACUCGCGCCCUUCGAUGCUUCGGCAGCGGCGGCGGGUGGCGGUGUCCACAUGCACCCGGUACGGCGGUGCUCGAGCCCCGAUGGUUCGCACCGCUGGCCGGCGGAGGCGGCCGGGUCCAAAGGCGGCGGCGACGGUCGGACCAGAGGGAGGGGAUGGAAACCCUAACCGCUCCUCCUUCAUCCUCGCGGACGCAUAUGGGCCGGCUCAAAGGCCCAAUAGGCUUCGGCCGGAUGCGGUUCUGGUCUGUAGCCAGCAUGGGCUCGCCCCAACGACCAUUUCAAUUUUUUUCUUUUUCAGCCACGAAUCUACAUUAAACCCAUGCCUUCAAUGUAUUUUCUGUGCUGAAAAUUUAAUAGAGUUUAUCUGAGUCUGCAUAAAUAUGUUUUAAUCCCUGAAUUUAACAGUUUUAAUAUGGUAGAGUAAUUUACUCCUAUAUUUCAUCAGACCCAGAUAUUAUGUCUGUUUUAUAUAUGUCUUCCAUGCAUAGUACUAAACAUACAUUGUUUGUUGCCUUGUUCAUUUGGCAACUUAAAAAUUCUCUUAAUUAACUCUUAAUUAAGUAUCACUUAAUUAGUGAUGGAUUUUAUGCAAAAUAAUCAAUACAUAUCUUGAAUAAUUUAUUUGGGAUUGGAACACAAGGUGAUGGAGUCUUAGACAUCGAUUGUAAUAUGUUCAUUUUGAAUAUAUUAGCCCAGAGACCAUGUCUACUAGCAGCGAUAUAUUCACUAAUUACUGAGAGGUCUACAUCAUGAUUUGAUGAUUACCUACAAAGUAAAUGUUUGGAAAUUGUAAAAUGGUCUUUCAUUACCAUUAUUUAUUGUCAAAUGGUUAUACACAGGGUAGUAGAGCCUUAGGCAUUGGCUGCAACUUAUUCUUCCAGAAUUUAUUUUGCCUACUAGCGAGAGAUCUACUCUAAUGUUUAAUUACAUGAAGAUUAUCUAAAAGUGUAUAUCAACAUUGACAAUGACACAAUUGUUGAGGUUUACACUAUUGUGUGAUUACCUCCAAUUAUUCCAAACCACAAGAUAUGGAUUUCAGAUUAUUUUUGCAUCAUGAUUACAACAUUACCUUAGUGAUUCUUAAUUUACCAUCAUGUAAAUUAAUGAAACCUAUGAUUAUGCCUUGGAAGAAAAUGACCUCCAACUAACUUUGCAUCUCAACGACUAUUGGUAGCAAUGAGUGAACCCUAGAAGGGAUCCUCCGCUCCUAGUCAGAUGAAGUAUGGUGUUCUCUUUUAUUACGGUUCUAUUUCCAUAAGAAGUUCAAGCAUUAAUAUCUAUUGGAAUUGAACUGACGUGCUUUGUGGCUUGCUCUCAAAAGAGUGCUAUGAACAACAAAAGAACUCAUAUGAUUUCAAUUAUAAGUUGAACCAUGCAUGUAUGUCUCCAGGAUUUUAAAACUGCUAUAGACUACAAAUCUUGUUGUUCAUAAUAUUUGCUCUAAGUUGAAGUCUCGCAAAAUUACGACUAUUGUUCUCAACUCAUCAUACACUGACCUACGUUGAAAAGCUUGAUGAAUUUCUUUUGAAGCAUCAUCAUUAGUACCACAUUGGUAUGGAGCUUAUCCCUAAGGUUCAUAGUAUUUGAGUAAUGUUGAGACUAACAAGAGUUCUAAUGGAUAUACUUCUAGAUCCAAUGAACUCAUUUGGUGAGUGCAAACGCAACAGGAGGCAAAUAUCCAUUGCAUAAAGAUAAUAGAGAAUUGUGCCAUAAUUCCCUAAAAGGAUGCAAACUCGCAUAAAUAGCAGAAAAUAGUGUAUCGUUUUGGUGAUUACCUUCUAUUAUAUCACAGAGACUACAUUUUGACAAUAAUUUUGCAUCAUUUGUUCCCAAAAUUGUAGCAGCGACUUCAUCGCCUGUGAAUGGUAAUCCAAAAUCAAGUGUCACCUUGAUACCAAAAUUGGCAAUACUAUUUUUUAUGCUUUUGUAGUUUACUCUUUGUGUAAAUUAAUUUCAUACAUGAUUAACUCAUGUAGUACAUGGUUCAUAUUUUCAAGAUGGAAAGUUUCUCCAAACUUGCAUUGGAUGGGACUUAUUAUCCACUGGUGAGGGCUAAUGGUUGUAAAGCCACUAUAACCAAUAUCCAAUCCAAAUGCUCAGCCAUUUGUAUAGUUGACCAUUGUGCAACUUUACAUUUUUGUUGCAUCUCCUUUCCUAAGAUUUCUAUGAAAUCUUAAUGGAAAAAGAUCCACUUAUUCUUUGUGCUCCUUCAUGGAAUGAUUAACAAAGAAAGUAUUAUUGUCUAAAAUAUAAAUGAAUGCUUGCACAUUCGUUUACCAUGACUUCUAAGUUCUGGACAAUUUUACAAGUUUCACCUGUCAUAUGACAUGUAAAAACAUAAUGGACCUAAAGAGAUAGCAACCAUUUGAGAUAAUGACUAUAAUAAUGUGACGAAUCAUCGCUCACUCCAUAUCAAUGAUCUCAAAUAUUUUGGCUGAAUUAUAUCUCCAAAUCAUUGGAGAAUUGCAAGUUUAGGGGUGAAAUUUUGAUGCUUACUUCAACAUGUGAGACCUAUUGCGUCUCCAUUUCUUAGAAAUAUUAUGCUUUUGUCUACUCAUAUCAUGUACUUCAUACAUGAUGCUCAUAUUUUAUAUGAGUUUUGCUUACUCAUAAUAGAAUCAUUUGAGAUUUAAACUAGAUGGUGAAGAAAUUUUAAUUGGUGGGCAUCGUGAUGAGGACAUCAACACCAACGAUACAUCCACCCCUACACAAGUACCAGAUUCUGGUCCUAUAACUCGCGCCCGUGCUCGUCAACUUAAUCAUCAAGUAAGUUCACUCUUCAGUUCCUGUCCAUCCUAUUUAGACCAUGGAGAUGCGUGCACUCUUGUUUUAGUUAGGAACCAUGGAGAAGACCGAAAGGGAAACGGACUCGCGCAGGCUAGAUUCGGACUCCAGGACAGUACCAACUUGUGAUGGUCACCACGGUCGUAUACGGACACGGAUUGGGACGUUCAAGUACUUCACGGAUUUGUUAUGAAGUCUAUUUUCAUAUGGAUCUGGACUCAAGUCUAUAUCUAAUCUGAGGCGGUCGCAAUGACCAAUUCACUACCGAUAGGUUUUCUGGUGCUGCGUCACCUCAUUUUGGCCCAAUGGGCCGUGUAUGAAGUUGGGUCCAUUAGGGACAUGUCCUAGGGUUGGAGCAUGACCCCAACACCCUCCUGGUCAUCCUCCUAGGCAUUAGUAAGGAUUAGAGCCGCCACAAACAUAUUAGGUUUUGUUUAGAUCAAGUUUAGCUCUCGCUACUUGCUUGUAAGCGCGCGUGCUGGAUCAGCCGCCCGUCUUCCUGUCUUCGAAACCCCACCUUAUUGAGAUUGAGUUGGAAACCUUCAUCUUCAUCUAGUAAAUUCAGUACUUGUUAUACUUGUUCUUGCUAGUUCUUCGAUUGCUUGCAGGACGAGUGCCCUAGUGGCCGGGUGACACGCUCCACAAGAUCGCGACAGCCAUUGGAGGUGGUGUAUCGGUUGCUAAGGUGCGGCUUGGAAGGCUGUAGUCGGGCCGUGAACGUCGUCUCCAUCGACCAAUCGAGUUAUCCCACGCCUCUCAUCGAAAGAUCGGGAAUCAACCCUAACGGGUUCAUAUCACAUCGUAUCACUAACACAAGUAUAGGAGAUUACGCUCUCUCUACAGGUAUUUUAACAUCAUUCAUUGAUACACUCAUGUAUCCGAAUUCUACAAAUACUCUUAUGAGUUUUCAUGAUAUCCUGUGUGGUUUCCAUAUCGAAACUCAUUACUUAGAGUAAUGAUGUGAAUCAGCACUCGGUACAAUGGAUGAAAACUAAAUACUUGUGGCAACUUCUUCCAUAUCAUCAAAUAUGUAUUAUAAUACAUCAAUCCCAUAUCAUAUGUUGCAUACAAAAUAAUUUUCUCUCUUGAUGAAAUCAAGAUUUAGCAUAAUUGCCUGGUCAUUCUACCUUAGGAUGAUGAGAAAAUUAUUAUCAAUUCUAUUGGUCACAACAUCAAUUCCCCAAAUCAUCAGAUUUGAUGUGCAUCACUUGCACAAUAAGGGAAUUGAAUUUAAGGACCUCUUACCUUAGAAUCUGAAUAUGAGCAUCCGAUUUCUUUUUCAAGAAUAUGCAUGUGGCUCUAUUCAACCAUUGUGUGGACCAACUAGGUACUUUACAAUGCACCUUGAUGCAUAAUAUAGUCCCAUGUGUAUCCGUUGAGGUGGUACAAAUUUUGGAGCAAAUGAUUGAUCCUGGACACGGGAUCGCAUCCAUGAACUUGGAAUGGUUUGGCCUUUGGAACUAUAGCAUUAAGUACCUUAUGUCCAUAAUGGUCUAGUUAAAUCUCCAGUGAGGGAAAAUACUAUUUGCAUGACCAAAAUAGAAUUACAAAUUACCAACAUUAGUUGGUGGAACGCGGAUGUACACAUCGCAUUCAUUUCAAAUUCAUCAAACUGCAUUCAUACGGCUCCCUCCGUUGCAGUCUAAGUACGUGGAUAUUUGACUUUUAGUCAAAUUUUUAUCCCACCUGCGUGUUGGUUAUGUCUUGCACAUACCAAUAUCACCACCUCAGCAUACAUUCAUGGGCAUUGGAGAUCCUAGAGGUAUCAUUAUCCGUCAUUCAUAACAUACCUCGGAUCGUCCAUAGGGGAUUUAUUCAUAGCCCAUAUGCUGAUCACUUUGAUUAUGAUUCUAGGCAUUAGGGGGAGAUUCACACCACGCAUAGAUCGCCAGGAACCAAGAGUGAAUGUCACAUAUUGACAUCCCCCUCACAUGUAUCCAUGUACUGAAGAAUUUGGACUAUUAGUUCAGAAUCUUAUGUUUGCAAACCAUUGUAAAUAAUCUGCCAAAUGCAUUUACUCAUUAAAGGUGUCAUAUGAUUUCCAACCUCAUUGUGCUAGAAAGAGUAGAGGUACCUUUUCAAAACCACUCAACUCCCUAUAAGAGGGGGAGAAGUAUGGUUACAAGGGAUAUAGCUUCUUGCAAGAUUCUAUGGAAACAAAAGAGUAAAUGCUAAUCAACAUAAGUUGAUUGACACCUUAUGGAUAUUCACUAUCCAAAGCCUUUGGAUGUUCUACGUCCAAAAGACCAGCACAUGUGUACACAUAUUCAGGCGCUGGAUCAUUAGAACACCCUAACUCUGUCGUUGUGGGAAUUGACAUAGAGUUGAAGGGUUAAUAUUUUUACAAGCAAUAUUGGUUUUAUUGAAUCAAUCAUACAAAGUCUACAAAUAUCGACAUUUCUCCAUCUCAGAUUGCCGUGCACACUGUUCGCCUAAACGGCCGUUUAGUCCAUUUAAACAGUGUUUAAACGCUAAAUAAAGGCCUCUCGUGUUGUUUAGGUCCUAAACGGUGAAUUAAACGGUUGGACCGUUUAAACCCAUUUAAACCUUUAAAAACCAUCUAAUCCAUCUAAACAUAAUCGAGUUAAACGUGAUUAGAUGAGCUAAAUGACCAUUUAAUUCAUAAUUUAGUCAAUAGGAGGAUUACAACUACCACAAUCAACACUAAACUAAUUAGCAUCGUAAGUAUAUGAAGUGUUGUGGGAUUUAGAUUUCUUUCAAAAAGAUUAUUUAGUAGAAUACUUACAUUUUACAUUUGUAAAUAUGUAGACUUUCUAGCAUAUUUGACUUUUAUGUACAUAAAUAUGUAUAUUUUAGAGUUAUUAUACAAAACCAUUAGGUCAUUUAAUCCUAUUUAAACACCGUUUAAACAGCCUAAACACUAAACAAAGGAUGACCGACUGUUUAUCGUUUAGCGUCGUGCACCUACUAGAUCCAGACCAAAAGUCCUAGGCAAGAGUGUUUAUACACUCAUUUUGGGUCAAUCAAAGGUGGCAAUCGAGGAGAAUUGCUCUUGCUAAAACAAUGAUUGAGUAAUAUCUUACUCUCAUAAUGCUUUCUUUACGAAAGCAAGGUGGUGAGAUAGCAAGAGCUUGUAGUUUAUGGUUUCACGUAGAGACCUAGCUAGCAUCCCUCGGUAUGUGUGAAAAUUAUGUUCCUAUAAUUGAUCAUUGGCGGAUCUUGUGAAUUUGAUAGAUUCGAAUAUACCAGUCCCUAUGGAUUUUGUGUUCAGAAUCAAAAUCGCAACAUACAUUUUGUACAACUCUUCAAGUCACUCCAUGACUUGAAACAGUUAGGUUUGAUUAUGGUACAACCAACUUGGUGAGUUCCUUCCUCCGAAGGGUUAUUUCCAACCACGAUGAUUGCAUAUGUGUGUUUGUAUUGGAUUUUCUAUCAUCUCCGAUCACACACAAUAAAUCAUGCAAUCAUCUUAAGACAGAUUAUGAGGUGAUGAUUUGGAUAAAACCAAAUUAUGCUUAAGUCUACAACUUAAGUAUAUACAUCGGUCUACCAAUAUCCAAUGAUAUUGGACAUAAUAUCCAUUGACACUGGUCAUUUAAUCCCUAAAGUGGAUCAAUGUCCAUUUCGGCCCUGGGAUUAAACCUUUGUGCCAUCAAAGCGCAUAUGUAUCUUGCAAAUUGCAACAUGUCUCAUAUUGCAUUUGCAGAUACUUGCUAGCUUAAAAUAGCGCAACUCCGAUAACGCCACUUGGCUAGAGAAGGAUAUCCAUUGAUAUCUAUAUGGUACUAAAUGACCUUGACUUGUUGUUAGAUACGUUUAGAUACGAUCAUAGUGGGAUAUGAAGAUACUAGCCAAUUAAUCCCCAUAAUGUAUGCCAGAUCAAAGACCGAUACCUUUGUGGUAGAGUUCUCAUGGGAGUCAUCAUAGACUCUAAUGGUUACUUCCACACAUCAUUCCGAAGCAUCAUAUAAAAACCUAUGACUUCGUUGAGGGAUUAAUUAUGAUUCCAUUGAAUCAUAGCCAUUAUCUAUCAAGAUAAUGGUGCUUGUAUUGCUUGGAUGCAAACAGGUUAUGUGUGAGCAAUAUCACUAUAUUGUCCACAAAAUGGUUUAUCCUCAGGUAUUGUUGUAAUACAUUUGAGGAAUAACCAGAUUACAAAUUAAACAUGCAAGUACUUUGCAAGUUUAUUCACAAAGUCUCUACCAACUCUCACACUUUAAAAGUGUGUAGAAUUGGUAUGUGAUGACUUUGAGGUUUGCAAGGUUCAAGGGGAGUCUCCUCAUGAAUUAGAACCUAUUCAUGCAUCAUAUUGUACUCUUUUCUUUUUAUGAGCUUUCCUCUCAAGGUUUCUCAUAUAAAAAUUUUUAUGAGGCAAUAUCAAUACAAGAAUAUAUAUCAUAUCUUCUAUUUCCCCACCGGGGUUUUUAAAGGAGGUAUGCAAGACAUAUCAUGUCAUAUCUUCUUCUCUAAAAGGAAUUAUUGAGAGGAUAUCAAAGACAUGCAUUGCUCCCUAAACUUUUAUGGGUUUUGUGAGUGAGCAAUGACCAUAUAUAUAUGCCAUAUCAUUUUCUCCUUACUUUUCCCAUUGGGUUUUGAAGGAGUUUUGAUGGCAUAUCCACAUGUACAUUCCUCAUAUUUUUCCCACAUGGUUUUUCGAGGAAUUAACCAAUACAUUGAUCUUAUUGAUGGAGUUGAUCAAGGGGGAGUGUUUUGAACCAUUUAUUGGUGAUCAACACCAAUAGCUGUCAUUGGUGGUUACUUACCGAAAGGGUCUUGCACCCUUUCACUAUGAUCAUUCAACAUUAUAUAUAUGUACAAACAGAUCAAUGCAAUACACAGAGAAUUCCACUCUUGUCAUGUGUCUUCCAUUUACAUUUCAGUAAAUCUACUCUUAACAGCUCCAACGAAGAUGUGGGGUUUGCUCGGUGGUGGUGCGUGGCGUUGCCGGGUGGUCGUGGCGCGUGGCCCAUGCCAUUGCCAGGGCGGCACGGUGGGUCGUGGUCUAGAGUCUGGACGGGUUGUGUUGUGUGCAUGCAUCUCGGGUCAGAACCGGAUACUGGCAAUCUAGCCAUUUCUAAUUUUGUACGAGCGUGAUUACCUUUGGGUUUUUUUUUGCGAACAAACAUUUGACGGUUGGGUCUACCAUUUAGCGAAGAGAGGCCGGCUAAAAUAGACUUUCUAACCUCGAGACACAUUUAUUAAAAAAAAACUCGAGGCAAACGUUAGAUGUUUGGCUCACGGAGUAGUACAGAUUCUUCCUUUCUUCUUGGGGCUAUUUAGCUUCCACUCGAGUGUUUCAACUUUCCUUCACACAUGAAAUUUUCCAACCGUUGGAUCUGCAUAUGACGUCUAUUGUUGUUUCUUCUUCCUUCCUUCUUCUUCCUCAGUCCUUCUUUCUCCUUCGAAACAAAACAGCGGAAGCUUCCUCCUCAACGAGUCAACACCGGUGACCCUACCCCGCCAUCCUUCACCCCGUCUCCAGCGGCUCUCGCCGCCGAAUCCGCCGCCGCUCCCCACCCGCACGCUAACGACUCUGGAUUUGGUGCCCUCACCCCACCUGGCCCAACCACCAUCCUCCACUGCCCGGAUGGCGGCGCCACCGCCGUCGUGCCUCGCCGCCCCCGCGCCCACCACCACCGCCUGUCCGUCCUGCCACCUUCGGACCUCUGUCUUUGCCCUGCAACACCAGGAACCCAGGGCCUGAAUCCCCCAUCCCCAAACCCAAAUCCCCUAAGGCCCUAACCUCUUGCCCUCAUCGGAGCUCGCCGGAGAUGGAUCAAAUGGAGCUGGGUCUCACCGGAGAUGAAGAAGAUGGGUCAAAUCUUGGUGAAGAUGCAGAAGAUGGGAUGACGAGAAAAUUCGAGUGUGGGAAGCCAAAGAAAUGCGCUAGCACAGUAUAGCUUUCCCCUUCUUUUUUCUCGGUUGAUUGGUAGUUCAAUUCCCAUAAGAAUCAGGGAAAUCACAUGCUCGCCCUGGUGUCCCAAACAAGGAACCAUUAGGUUGCACUGUGGCGAACGUGUACCGCGUCUUUGACUAUAGAUAUAUAAAUAGGUGAAUUCAGGAUUUGCUACUUGGUUUGUCAUGAAAAUGGCAACACAUGAAGCUGCAAUCAUAAUUUUCAAUCGUUCAAUGGCAGCUUUCAGCGGCACGAAGAGUUAAAGACCGACCAGCAGUCGGCAUGAAGAGUUGAAGACCGACGUUUCUGCGCUCCAUCUAGGCAGGCACGACUAAAUGUGCUAGAGUUUUCGGCGGCAUCGUGACUGUAUUUUAUCACCGACAACAGCAGGUCUCCUGGAAUCUUUUCCCAAAACAAAAGGCUUUCACAAGCAGUCAACAAAAUCUGUUGUUUCCACGAAAGCAGAGUCCGAACAACCAUAUGUGAAGCCUUCGCCAAGAUUCUAUGCACCACACAAGUUGCCAGUAAGAUCGUACGCGGUAUGCACAAUUGUCCAUAAGAGGGUACGGAAAAAAAGAUGAUAUGGAAGAAUCAUUUUCUUUUGUUUUUUUACAUUUGUUGAGGGUGUAGCGUAAAAGCAAGGUAGCCGUAGCUUCUCUCAAGGAUGGCUCUAUUUAUUGGCUAUAACUUUUUACAUGUAACUUUAUCAAAUUAUUCUUUUUAUAAAUGAAUGGAAAAUGUUAUAUAACACUCGAGUGUUUUAGCCUCCACCAGCACUCUCUUUCCGUCACAUGCAUAGGCUGGAGCAGAGAAGUCUUCAUCUUCCUCAACUCCGACGAUGGCUCCGACGAGGUUAAGAUUCGAGCUUUGACGUUCGGGUUUGGGGUUUGAAUUUUGGGACUGGGGAUUCGAUGCCGACAAGUGGCAGCGGCCUUAGAGGGACCUCGCCAGUGGUAGGUGUGACCGGUGGUGGAGCGGUGAGGCAAGGCGGCGGUGGCGCCGUCAGCCGGGGCGGCGGAGGAAAACCGGUGGGCGGGGGCGACGAUGACGACGAUGAUGGGUGGAGGCGGCAGCGGCAAGGGCAGCGCGGCUGCUGCUGCAGUCGGGCUAAGGUCUCAUCGAAACUUCACGGCGGCGCGUAGUGGCGCAGGGGACUGGAUAGUUGGGAAGAAGCUCACGGCUGGAGGUAGAAAAUGACUAUAAUCCAACUGUGUAAAAAAUCGAGUGUGCAGAUGAUCCAAAACACUCUGAGUUGCAUAGCUUGAGGUUUAGCAAAAUUCCUAAUAUACAGCCACAAUCCGAGAUUAGCAAAAUUUUGCCAUUCAAUUGAUAAGCUCAAACCGGUCGCAUGAUGAGUGUUCCGUACAAAUCAUCAAGAGGAAAGAGAUGUUGCCACAAAUGAAUAGGCCAUGUUUGAUUGACUUCCACACCUUCGCCGCAACUCACCACGCUGGCAUCCUUGGCAUCCAAAUGUGACGCGCAUAAAAAGAAUUAUGAUGACCCAUGUAUGCCCGUUUGGUUCGUUAGGAUUUCCUAGAAUUUCUAUCAAAUCAAAUGUUUAGAUACUAAUUAGGAGUAUUAAACAUAGACUAAUUAUAAAAUCAAUUGCACUGACGAAGGUUAAUUUGCGAGAUGAAUCUAUUAAGCCUAAUUAGUCUAUAAUUUGACAAUGUGGUGCUACAGUAAACAUGUGCUAAUGAUGGAUUAAUUAGACUUAAUAGAUUCGUCUCGAGAAUUAGCCUCCAUCUGUGUAAUUAGUUUUAUAAUUAGCUCAUGUUUAAUUCUCCUAACUAGCCUCUGAAUAUUUGAUGUGAUAAAUUUUAGUCGGGACUAAAGAUCCGGACGACCUAGGAUACUGAAAAGUAAGGGCCCGUUUGGUUACUUUUGCUUAUUUUUAGCAUGUGUCACAUCGAAUGUUUAGAUACACUAAUUAGAAGUAUUAAACGUAGACUAUUUACAAAACUCAUUACAUAAGUGGAGGCUAAACGGCGAGACGAAUCUAUUAAGCCUAAUUAAUCCAUCAUUAGCAAAUGUUUACUGUAGCAACACAUUGUCAAAUCAUGGACUAAUUAGGCUUAAUAGAUUCGUCUCGCCGUUUAGCCUCCACUUAUGUAAUCGGUUUUGUAAAUAGUCUACGUUUAAUACUCCUAAUUAGUAUCUAAAUAUUCGAUGUGACGGGUGCUUAAAUUUAAGCAAGUGAACCAAACCAGGCCUAAACUGCAUUGGGCAUCGACCGAGCACACUCCCAAGUCCCAACCAAACGAAAACAAUUAUGAUGACCCAUGUAUCCGUGUUCUAAGCUUAGGUCACACGCCAACCCUCGGCUCCAUGCCUCCAUCCAACAAUGUUUCUUUCUCAUUCCCGAAGACAUGGUCUCAUACUCUCAUCCGCGAGCCAAAACAUGAUCGUCAAGCCUGUGUCCCCGGAAAUACAGACCCGACGCGACGUUAACCAGCUGCCUAAAGAAAGAACAAAGUCCCCUCGAUGGCCCGGCCGGCACAAAGUCUCGCGACGAACAGGCAGCGGGGGGUUGCAUCAACCUUUACGACACAGAUGCUCGAAGCUUUUUUCUGCUCCAAAGAGAAGCUUUGGUAGUUCACGACACGAGCAGGCAGGAGUACGCAAGUAACGAAGCGGCAUGAGUAGACUGUGUUGUGCGGUCGUUGAGGUCAGAGAUCAUUCUUUUUUCUAAAAAUGUAAUGAAUGGGAAUCUGUAAAGUGAUUAAAAAUGCAGAGCUCUAAAAGUCUUCAAAAUCUAAAGAGCUCUAAAAGUCUUGCUAAUAUUGGUCAUUUCCUAUUACCCCGAAAAAGUCUAAAGAGCGCUAAUAUUGGUCAUUUCCUAUAUUAUGCUGGAAAAGUGAUAAAAAAGUACACUUAUAGGUCGAAGAUGGGUGGAUCUUGCUAAUAUUGCAAAUUUACGUAAUAGGAAAUGACCGAUCUACAUCACUGAGAUAACCUUUGUAAGGCGCCUCGGUUUUUUCUCGCAGUUCGUUGCGUAGGAGUAUAGGACCAUGCAAAGGAGUUGGGGAAAGCUAUACCACACGGGAGCAUUUUUACUGCUCCCCACACUCGAAUUUAGCUGCCCAGCCACAACAGCUUCUUCCAUGCUACAACAGCUUCUUGAGCUCCGGCACCACCUUCUUCUUCAGCUCCGGCCGAGUUAGGUUUCCGGGUUGGGUUCGGGGUGGAGGUUACCUCUGGUCUCUGGAUGUAGAGGGAGCUCCGGGGUGGUCGCUGGUCGGCGGUGGUGGCGGUCGAGACGGCGGGGGAGCGGAGGUGGCGAGGCGGCGGUGGACCCUUGGUUGGGCGGUGGUGGCGGCGGGGGCGAGCACCGGCGACGAGUUAUUGCGCGAGUGGUCGAGACGGCGGCUGCGGAUCCAGCGGCGGGAGCCACUGGAGACGGGCAAGGCGGCGGUGGAGGCGGUGGCGAACGGCGGAGGCGAGCUUGGACGACCGGAGCAACAGCGGAGGGUGGAGAUAGGUGGGAGGAGGGAGGGGCGGUGGGGGAGGGCGGGCCUUGCCGACGUUGGGGACGACGCCGGCGAGGCGACAGGGUGGAGGCGGCGGGCGGCGUCGGGGUCUCGACCUCUCGGAGAUGAACCGGCGUGCGACUGGAUGUUUGGAUAGGGAAAGGUUUGGGCUGCGUGGGGUGGAGAAGAUAAGGUUAGAGGAUGGUUGGAUUUAGACCGUUCGUCUCAGAUCGAAUGGUCAGCAAAUUCGAGUGUGGGAGGGGGUUAUUAUACACGAGUGGGACAAAGACACCCCCAAGGAGUUUAUGAC
This 29729-nucleotide long non-coding RNA is filed under the name Setaria viridis. Its description in RNAcentral is "long non-coding RNA (SVIR_LNC006089)". Lineage: Eukaryota; Viridiplantae; Streptophyta; Magnoliopsida; Poales; Poaceae. The record is from RNAcentral.